CGAGCGAACUGAUUAGAAGCUUGCUUCUAUGACGUUAGCGGCGGACGGGUGAGUAACACGUGGGCAACCUGCCUGUAAGACUGGGAUAACUUCGGGAAACCGAAGCUAAUACCGGAUAGGAUCUUCUCCUUCAUGGGAGAUGAUUGAAAGAUGGUUUCGGCUAUCACUUACAGAUGGGCCCGCGGUGCAUUAGCUAGUUGGUGAGGUAACGGCUCACCAAGGCAACGAUGCAUAGCCGACCUGAGAGGGUGAUCGGCCACACUGGGACUGAGACACGGCCCAGACUCCUACGGGAGGCAGCAGUAGGGAAUCUUCCGCAAUGGACGAAAGUCUGACGGAGCAACGCCGCGUGAGUGAUGAAGGCUUUCGGGUCGUAAAACUCUGUUGUUAGGGAAGAACAAGUACGAGAGUAACUGCUUGUACCUUGACGGUACCUAACCAGAAAGCCACGGCUAACUACGUGCCAGCAGCCGCGGUAAUACGUAGGUGGCAAGCGUUAUCCGGAAUUAUUGGGCGUAAAGCGCGCGCAGGCGGUUUCUUAAGUCUGAUGUGAAAGCCCACGGCUCAACCGUGGAGGGUCAUUGGAAACUGGGGAACUUGAGUGCAGAAGAGAAAAGCGGAAUUCCACGUGUAGCGGUGAAAUGCGUAGAGAUGUGGAGGAACACCAGUGGCGAAGGCGGCUUUUUGGUCUGUAACUGACG
RNAcentral lists this ribosomal RNA (701 nucleotides) under Bacillus sp. N46. RNAcentral's name for it is "bacterial SSU rRNA". It matches the Rfam family "Bacterial small subunit ribosomal RNA", at positions 63 to 745 of the family's 1533-position model. Lineage: Bacteria; Bacillati; Bacillota; Bacilli; Caryophanales; Bacillaceae. The record is from RNAcentral.